RNAcentral lists this non-coding RNA (31 nucleotides) under Rattus norvegicus (Norway rat). Lineage: Eukaryota; Metazoa; Chordata; Mammalia; Rodentia; Muridae. The record is from RNAcentral.
UGGUAGAAAAACCCUUUAAGAAGGCGUGGGG